GUUUAAGCUCCAGCGACACAUAAAUAAAUCUUAACAACAGUAGCAGGUAAGAAACAAUCAGUCUCCACCGCUUCCAUCAACUCCAAUUUUCCGCCAUACUUCUUUUGCCUCUUCCCGAUCAUUCUGUUCCUUCACCUCUGCUUUCCUUUUCAUCCUUGCAGGAAACGAAGAAUUUGCCGUCCCUGCAAACCGCAUUGCCUCUUGAACUUGCGAACAAUGUGAUCAGACUCGAAGAGCUAAGUAUGUUGGUCAUCGGGUAUGCAAAUUCAUUUUUUUGGUGAUGAAGAACGUGUUUUGUUGUGACUUCUCAAUGAGAUUGAAGCAACACAAUACAGAAUUUGUCGUUGAUAUGGUGCGGGGGGAAUUCAAAAAACAUAAGCAUAAGACGGACCCAGAAAAGAUUCAAACUUUGAAGGAUGACGCGGCAAGGGGACUCAUAAACCAUAUACCGUUCGAGUCCGAGAAGAUGUCCGGCCGAAAGUUCAGCAGCAAGAGCUAGGUCUUUUGAUGCCAAGGUUUUUAAUUUCCUUCUGAGAUUCCAGUUUGUUGUAUGGGAUGAAGUUUUCGCUUUGAAAUAGGCGAUAACAUUGUAAGCUUUAAUGCUUUAUCGCCUGUUUAUGAAUUGUGAAUGCUUAGUUUCUUGGUAACUUUAAUGAAAAGUUUCCAGUACUGUUCAUUUUAAUAAAAAAUCAUAUUUUUAC
Molecule: RNA transcript, 701 nt
Organism: Pyrus x bretschneideri (Chinese white pear)
Lineage: Eukaryota; Viridiplantae; Streptophyta; Magnoliopsida; Rosales; Rosaceae
Exons: 5
Source: RefSeq, a predicted model, not a curated record